Gasterosteus aculeatus aculeatus (three-spined stickleback) is the source of this 497-nucleotide long non-coding RNA. The record is from Ensembl. Lineage: Eukaryota; Metazoa; Chordata; Actinopteri; Perciformes; Gasterosteidae.
CGAGGCAAAUAGUCAAAAGGGGAACAGAAAGCGCUCCGCAGGCUCAACUGGAGUCAGGAGGGAAACUCCACCGACGCCUUGCGGUCUGGAGCGGAUAAAGCAGGGAUCUGGUGUGGAAACCCGAGGCCUGACACCAUAACAGUCUGAUUAAAGCGAGUCACAUGUACUCCGCGGUACUCCGCGGGUCAGACUCUGCAGGACACAAAGCAAAAACAUGCAAACUGGUGAGCUGCAUCUGAUCUGCAUCCGGCGCCAUUCACCGGCACCUGAGACCAGCCUGGAUACUGGGAGGGACUGAUGAUGAGCCUCGGAACUCAGGAGCCUUUAUGUCCGUCACUGGUGAUCCCCGGAAUGAGCCACAGCAUCCGCGAAGGAGCAACUGAUAACAGAGAAUAAAAGAACAUAGACAACAGUAUAACAUGGAACCACAGGGAUCAGAGUUUAAAGGCACAGGGACACAAAUAAAUUCAAUUCAAUUCAAUUCAUUUUGUAUAGCC